RNAcentral lists this transfer RNA (75 nucleotides) under Streptomyces cinereoruber. RNAcentral describes it as "tRNA-Asp". The record is from RNAcentral. Lineage: Bacteria; Bacillati; Actinomycetota; Actinomycetes; Kitasatosporales; Streptomycetaceae.
GUGGGGGCUUGGGGACGGGCUGCCCCAAGCUAUCAACGUGGGGCGGGCGCCCCCGGUUCCACCCGGGUUCCCAGG